RNAcentral lists this long non-coding RNA (541 nucleotides) under Octopus vulgaris (common octopus). The record is from RNAcentral. Lineage: Eukaryota; Metazoa; Mollusca; Cephalopoda; Octopoda; Octopodidae.
GAAAUUUUUAUUUAACAAAUUAAAAAUAUUCAUACAAAAGAUCAACAGUCGCUAAUUAAUUCAUUAACCGGGAUUCAAUCAUUAACUCAUUAAUUCGUUUUAUUUUUAUUGCACUAACGAUUUAGAUUUCUCUUUCCAUUAUUUCAAUAUUUCCUCACGGCAUUUCAAACAUGGUGAAUAUAAGACAAGAGAUCAUGUGACAGGCUAUGGGCUGGUUCUCAUCAUUUCUUAUUGACACACACACACACACACAUAUAUACAUGUGUGCAUAUAUAUAUAAGUACAAGGCCAUAUAUAUAUAUAUAUAUGUGUGUGUAUAUAUAUAUUUAAGUACAAGGCCAUAUAUAUAUGUGUGUAUAUAUAUAUUUAAGUAGAAGGCUAUAUAUAUAUAAGUACAAGGCCAUAUAUAUAUAUAUAUGUGUAUAUAUAUAUUUAAGUACAAGGCUAUAUAUAUAUAUAUGUGUAUAUAUAUAUUUAAGUACAAGGCUAUAUAUAUAUAUAUAUAUGUGUAUAUAUAUAUUUAAGUACAAGGCUAUAUAUA